This 253-nucleotide ribosomal RNA is filed under the name uncultured bacterium. RNAcentral describes it as "partial 16S ribosomal RNA". It matches the Rfam family "Bacterial small subunit ribosomal RNA", at positions 524 to 776 of the family's 1533-position model. The record is from RNAcentral.
UACGAAGGGAGCUAGCGUUGUUCGGAAUCACUGGGCGUAAAGCGCGCGUAGGCGGCUUUGCAAGUCGGGUGUGAAAUCCCCAGGCUUAACCUGGGAACUGCAUUCGAGACUGCAUUGCUAGAGUAUGGGAGAGGGAAGUGGAAUUUCCGGUGUAGCGGUGAAAUGCGUAGAUAUCGGAAGGAACACCAGUAGCGAAGGCGACACUCUGGGCCGGUACUGACGCUGAGGAGCGAAAGCGUGGGGAGCAAACAGG